Molecule: transfer RNA, 73 nt
Filed under: Chloroflexota bacterium
Lineage: Bacteria; Bacillati; Chloroflexota
Also listed under: 2 other names
Description: Chloroflexi bacterium tRNA-Thr
Rfam family: tRNA
About the family: Transfer RNA (tRNA) molecules are approximately 80 nucleotides in length. Their secondary structure includes four short double-helical elements and three loops (D, anti-codon, and T loops).
Source: RNAcentral
GCCCUCAUAGCUCAGGUGGAAGAGCGCAUUCUUGGUAAGAAUGAGGUCAUGGGUUCAAGUCCCAUUGAGGGCU